RNAcentral lists this ribosomal RNA (423 nucleotides) under uncultured bacterium. Its description in RNAcentral is "bacterial SSU rRNA". It matches the Rfam family "Bacterial small subunit ribosomal RNA", at positions 958 to 1385 of the family's 1533-position model. The record is from RNAcentral.
AACGCGAAGAACCUUACCAGGGCUUGACAUCCUGCGCUCACCUAAGAGAUUAGGUUUCCCAGCAAUGGGACGCAGAGACAGGUGCUGCAUGGCUGUCGUCAGCUCGUGCCGUGAGGUGUUGGGUUAAGUCCCGCAACGAGCGCAACCCUUGCCGUGUGUUGGUCCACAAGACCUCUCACGCGGGACCGCCGGUGACAAGCCGGAGGAAGGUGGGGAUGACGUCAAGUCAGCAUGGCCCUUACGUCCUGGGCUACACACGUGCUACAAUGGAAUGGACAACGAGUCGCGAACCAGCGAUGGUAAGCUAAUCUCCUAAACCAUUUCUCAGUUCGGAUUGGAGGCUGCAACUCGCCUCCAUGAAGUCGGAAUCGCUAGUAACCGCAGAUCAGCUACGCUGCGGUGAAUACGUUCCCGGGCCUUGUA